GACUAUUUUUCGAUCCUUUCGAGUUUUCCUUUGUGUCUGAGUCCUUCAUGAAAGUUAUAGGUCUACUUCUUAGCUUUCCAACCCAUCCUCUUGUGUCCAAUUUGGAUAUAUAUAGUUCAACUUAUGGCUGAAAAACCCAAACUGACUCUGUUAUGACGGGCUACAUGCAUCACUGAAUUGAGUGCCCAUUUUGACCACUAUAAUGAUAAGAUUAUAUUCUGAGUUCUUCAUGAGAGUUGUUUCCCUGUGUCUUGAGACUUCUCUGGUUUUGGAUUGGUUUGAUUUGAGUGUCUGGAUAAGUAGGAAUUGGAUAAACAUUGGAAUUAGUGCUGCUGAAUCAGGUCUGGACUAUUGGUCUGUGUUCCUAGCCUUUUUUCACCAUAUUACAGAUUGAUCUGGGCUGUUGUCCCUUGAUAACAUUUGUAGAAUUUUGUCUUAGCUUUCUAAUGAAUCAAACUUCACUUAAUUUGGAAAUCUAUAACUCAAGUUAUGUCCUAAAAACCCAGAAAAGGUCAAGGUGAUAUUAAUGCUGGAAAUUUUCUAUGUCCUAAAUCAAAGGGUUAUUUGGAUAAAAGUAUGUAUAAAUCAUGUGUGAUGAAGUGCUCUUGAUUAUUUGUAUGUUUUAGAAUUUAUUUGACAAAAAUAAAACAUAAGUGUGAGAAGGGUUGUUGUGGAUAUCAUUAAAUGGAUAUAAAUUGGAAAGGUGUGGAAUUGAUUUAGAUAAUGCAUGAUGAGGGUUGAAAUGGAUACUUUUGUGCAUAAGAGUUAUGUUAGCAUGCGUGAUUGGAGAAGGAAAUUCCUCCCCUUGGUACCACCUUAGUGUAGUAAAGCUUACAUAAUUAUUAUAUAUAUGACAUAAGUAUGAUUAUUUGAUAACUUUUAUAUGUUUAGAGUUUUAACAAAGAAAUGGGUAUUUAAGGUGUAAGUGCUUUGUAUAUAUAUACUAUCUUAAAAAGAAUGUGGUAAUUUGUGUAAGUUGUAAGUUGAGAAAUUUUGAAGUGAUGGGUAUUAAGUAAUGAAGUGUUUUUGAUUAAGAAUUAUUGCUUUUGUGCAAGAAUGAUUUUGAUUUGGGCUCUACUAUGCAUGAUUGAAACGUGGUAUGAUGAGAUUGAUUUUGUUAUUGUGAAGCUAUGAUCAUAUGCUAGGGUUAUCAGCCCUUAUAAAUAGGCGGACGCGCUUAUUUGUGUGAUGGGGGUGGUGCUUUCAUAGGCCACGGUGGUGCUUUCAUAGGCCACGAUUGUGUGAUGGGGGUGGUGCUUUCAUAGGCCACGAGUAUGUGAUGGGGGUGGCGCUAACAUAGGCCACGAUCAAAUCUGCUUAUGUUCAUUCUGCAUGAGUAUGAGCCUUAACGAAAAAUAACAUUUUAUUGUUGCUAUAAAAGAAUGAAGACAUAUUUGUAUUUAUAAUC
RNAcentral lists this long non-coding RNA (1408 nucleotides) under Jatropha curcas. RNAcentral describes it as "long non-coding RNA (JCUR_LNC001620)". Lineage: Eukaryota; Viridiplantae; Streptophyta; Magnoliopsida; Malpighiales; Euphorbiaceae. The record is from RNAcentral.